UGCGUAGGCGGUCUUCUAAGUUUGAUGUGAAAUCCCGGGGCUCAACCCUGGAAUUGCAUUGAAUACUGGAGGACUAGAGUACUGGAGAGGAAACCGGAAUUUACGGUGUAGCAGUGAAAUGCGUAGAGAUCGUAAGGAAGACCAGUGGCGAAGGCGAGUUUCUGGACAGUAACUGACGCUGAGGCACGAAGGCCAGGGGGAGCAAACGG
Molecule: ribosomal RNA, 209 nt
Filed under: uncultured bacterium
Lineage: Bacteria
Description: partial 16S ribosomal RNA
Rfam family: Bacterial small subunit ribosomal RNA
Source: RNAcentral